GGUUCGAUUCUGGCUCAGAUUGAACGCUGGUGGGAUGCUUUACACAUGCAAGUCGAACGGCAGCACGGACUUCGGUCUGGUGGCGAGUGGCGAACGGGUGAGUAAUGUAUCGGAACGUGCCUAUAGCGGGGGAUAACUACGCGAAAGUUGUGGAAGCAUUACCGCAUACGUCUCUUCGGGGGAAAGCGGGGACCUUCGGGCCUCGCACUAUUAGGAGCGGCCGAUAUCGGAUUAGCUAGUUGGUGGGGUAACGGCUCACCAAGGCGACGAUCCGUAGCUGGUUUGAGAGGACGACCAGCCACACUGGGACUGAGACACGGCCCAGACUCCUACGGGAGGCAGCAGUGGGGAAUUUUGACAAUGGGGAAACCCUGAUCCAGCCAUCCCGCGUGUGCGAUGAAGGCCUUUCGGGUUGUAAAGCACUUUUGGCAGGAAAGAAACGGCACGGGAUAAUACUCCGUGCAACUGACGGUACCUGCAGAAUAAGCACCGGCUAACUACAGCCAGCAGCCGGCGGUAAUACGGUGUGCAAGCGUUAAUCGGAAUUACUGGGCGUAAGCGCGCAGGCGGUUCGGAAAGAAAGAUGAAAUCCCAGAGCUUAAUCUCUCUUGAACUGCAUUUUUAACUACCGAGCUAGAGCGUGUCAGAGGGAGGUGGAAUUCCGCGUAGCAGUGAAAUGCGUAGAUAUGCGGAGGAACACCGAUGGCGAAGACAGCCUCCUGGGAUAACACUGACGCUCAUGCACGAAAGCGUGGGGAGCAAACAGGAUUAGAUACUCCUGGUAGUCCGCCGCCCCUAAAUCGAUGUCAACUAGCUGUUAAAUUCAUCGGUAGCGCAGCCAACGCGUGAAGCGACCGCCUGGGGAGUACGGUCGUGACAAAUCAAAGGAAUUGACGGGGACCCGCACAAGCGGUGGAUGAUGUGGAUUAAUUCGAUGCAACGCGAAAACCUUACCUACCCUUGACAUGUCUGGAAUCCCGGCGAGAUUUGGGGGAGUGCUCGCAAGAGAACUGAAGACAGGUGCUGCAUGGCUGUCGUCAGCUCGUGUCGUGAGAUGUUGGGUUAAGUCCCGCAACGAGCGCAACCCUUGUCAUUAGUUGCUACGAAAGGGCACUCCCAUCGAGACGCUGGUGACAAACCGGAGGGAAGGUGGGGAUGACGUCAAGUCCUCAUGGCCCUUUAUGGGUAGGCUUCACACGUCAUACAAUGGUCGGGACAGAGGGUCGCCAACCCGCGAGGGGGAGCCAAUCCCAGAAACCCGAUCGUAGUCCGGAUCGCAGUCUGCAACUCGACUGCGUGAAGCCCGGAAUCGCCAGUGCAUCGCGGAUCAGCAUGUCGCGGUGAAUACGUUCCCGGGUCUUGCACACACCGCCUGUCACACCAUGGGAGUGGGUUUUACCAGAAGUAGUUAGCCUAACCGUAAGGAGGGCGAUUACCACGGUAGGAUUCAUGACUGGGGUGAAGUCGUAACAAGGUAA
Molecule: ribosomal RNA, 1478 nt
Filed under: uncultured Bordetella sp.
Lineage: Bacteria; Pseudomonadati; Pseudomonadota; Betaproteobacteria; Burkholderiales; Alcaligenaceae
Description: partial 16S-23S ribosomal RNA intergenic spacer
Rfam family: Bacterial small subunit ribosomal RNA
Source: RNAcentral